Molecule: non-coding RNA, 64 nt
Filed under: unclassified sequences
Source: RNAcentral
CUUAGGCUAAGCUAUAUUAUAUAUAGCUGCUCUGCUAUGAUCCCCUUAAGAUAAUUCUAGUUUA